This 483-nucleotide ribosomal RNA is filed under the name uncultured bacterium. RNAcentral's name for it is "partial 16S ribosomal RNA". It matches the Rfam family "Bacterial small subunit ribosomal RNA", at positions 30 to 506 of the family's 1533-position model. The record is from RNAcentral.
AUUGAACGCUGGCGGCAUGCCUUACACAUGCAAGUCGAACGGCAGCGCGGGAGCAAUCCUGGCGGCGAGUGGCGAACGGGUGAGUAAUACAUCGGAACGUGCCCAAUCGUGGGGGAUAACGCAGCGAAAGCUGUGCUAAUACCGCAUACGAUCUACGGAUGAAAGCAGGGGAUCGCAAGACCUUGCGCGAAUGGAGCGGCCGAUGGCAGAUUAGGUAGUUGGUGAGGUAAAGGCUCACCAAGCCUUCGAUCUGUAGCUGGUCUGAGAGGACGACCAGCCACACUGGGACUGAGACACGGCCCAGACUCCUACGGGAGGCAGCAGUGGGGAAGUUUGGACAAUGGGCGAAAGCCUGAUCCAGCCAUGCCGCGUGCAGGAUGAAGGCCUUCGGGUUGUAAACUGCUUUUGUACGGAACGAAACGGUCUUUUCUAAUAAAGAAGGCUAAUGACGGUACCGUAAGAAUAAGCACCGGCUAACUACGU